UUGCACAAAACCAAUAUACUCAUUUCACUUUCGUGAAUGAGUCUAAAAAGAAGAAAAAUAAAAGAAUUGCAGAAGUACCUUAGUGGGAAAUGGUCGUGGGACAACAAAUCCGACAGUCUGCGCUUUGAGCAGCACCACAAAUUUCUGCGGACGAUUAAUCAGGAGGAGGAGGUGAUGUUUCGACAGGAAUUCAUGUGCUAACAGAAAAUUGACGCAUAUUUGCAUUGCAAUUGUGAUUAUUAGAAUAUGCAUAGAAAAUGCAUGCAUGUUCGAAUGUAUAGAAAAAAUAUUUAAAAUGCUCAGCACAGCUUGCCACGUCCUAUUGCCAAUUUGAAUGAAAUUUUCAGCAUGUGAACUAAAUGUUUUAUUGAAUGUUUACCAAUUAUAAAUAAUUGCAAACUCAUUCAUAAUACUGCUAUAUUUUAAGCUAACCUUCAAUUUUGAGAACUUAGCAACAUUGGAGUCGGUAUCUGCUAUAUGGCAAAAAUCAAUACACAAGUUAACAUACAAUUAUGAGAUGUGCUAGAAAUAAAUUAUAGAUCUGUUUUAAAAAAUAAUUUAAUAUUUGGAUACUCCUCGCGUUUUUCCCCUACUCACAUUCAAAUUAACAAAAAGAGUCUUCUGACUCAAAUGUAAAUGUGAUGUUCCACAUGGUUUAGUUCUAGUGCAAAUAACUAAUCUGAUACGUUCCGGCCGUGUCCGACUAGAUGUCAAGCAAAUUUAUUUUGUGAAAUCGAUACAGUUCGGAUACGCAUAUCUAUUUCAAUUCGUUGCAGUCACGCUUUCAAAAAGGGUAUAAAAUGGAAGGCCCAAGUCCGAAUGAUAUCUUCGUUUUAAAGGAAGCUACAAUCAACAUGAAACUGAUUCUGUUCACUGCUGUACUAGCUGUCUUGGCAUCGGCCUGCUAUGCUGUUGCUGCUGGCCCUAUACAUAGGUCAGACCCACCAGAACCAGAACAAUAAAAGCUGGAACUGGUUUUUGAAAUAUAAUGUAUAUUCAAAUAUACAAAUCAUAAUGCAGAAAUAA
Molecule: long non-coding RNA, 1026 nt
Organism: Drosophila mojavensis
Lineage: Eukaryota; Metazoa; Arthropoda; Insecta; Diptera; Drosophilidae
Exons: 2
Source: RefSeq, a predicted model, not a curated record